This 428-nucleotide ribosomal RNA is filed under the name uncultured bacterium. Its description in RNAcentral is "partial 16S ribosomal RNA". It matches the Rfam family "Bacterial small subunit ribosomal RNA", at positions 354 to 796 of the family's 1533-position model. The record is from RNAcentral.
GUGGGGAAUAUUGGGCAAUGGGCGAAAGCCUGACCCAGCGACGCCGCGUGGGGGAAGAAGUCCCUCGGGAUGUAAACCCUUGUUGUACGGGACGAAGGAAGUGACGGUACCGUACGAGGAAGCCCCGGCAAACUACGUGCCAGCAGCCGCGGUAAUACGUAGGGGGCGAGCGUUGUCCGGAAUCACUGGGCGUAAAGCGCACGUAGGCGGGCUGUUAAGUCGGCCGUGAAAGGCACUGGCUCAACCGGUGUUUGUCGGUCGAUACUGGCAGUCUGGAGUAUGGGAGAGGGAACUGGAAUUCCCGGUGUAGCGGUGAAAUGCGGAGAUAUCGGGAGGAACACCAGUGGCGAAGGCGGGUUCCUGGCCCAUGACUGACGCUGAGGUGCGAAAGCCGGGGGAGCGAACGGGAUUAGAUACCCUGGUAGUCC